RNAcentral lists this long non-coding RNA (382 nucleotides) under Phaseolus vulgaris (common bean). RNAcentral describes it as "long non-coding RNA (PVUL_LNC002941)". The record is from RNAcentral. Lineage: Eukaryota; Viridiplantae; Streptophyta; Magnoliopsida; Fabales; Fabaceae.
ACACACGAAACCUCUUUCUCUUUCUCUCUCCAUCUCUCCCUUCUACCUUCUCUCUAAAUUUCUCACUCUAUACCUCAUCUAUUUUAGAAUCUAAUCAUACCACGCUGUAGCAGAGGAGUUAAGGAACAUUUCUACCCGAUCAGAUUUUCAAACAGAGUAAGUUCAUUUUUACUCUAAAUAUCCUUUGUUCUCUGUUUUUCCUUAGGAUUUAGUCAUCAAUCUUGGUGGGGUUAGUUGAGAAGUUUAAUCCUCUCAACUUAUUCUACUAUAUACUGAAAUUUUGUUCUGUUUGGAUAAUUUGCAUUAGGCCCGUAAAUCUUGAAGCUUAUCCAAACGGCGGGGAAUAAAAUUCUAAAAGUUGCUUGGAAAACAAGCAAUUGAG